RNAcentral lists this unclassified non-coding RNA (211 nucleotides) under plant metagenome. RNAcentral describes it as "partial contains small subunit ribosomal RNA, internal transcribed spacer 1, and 5.8S ribosomal RNA". The record is from RNAcentral.
UUUCCGUAGGUGAACCUGCGGAAGGAUCAUUCAUAAUAAAGUGUUUUAUGGCACUUUUUAAAAAUCCAUAUCCACCUUGUGUGCAAUGUUAGAUCUCGUCAAUCUUGGCGAGAUUUUUAUACAUCAACCCAUUCUUUAACUAAUUUGUCUGAAAAAUAUUAUGAAUACUUAAUUCAAAAUACAACUUUUAACAACGGAUCUCUUGGCUCUC